CAAACAGGUAGUGCAGGUAAGGUCAUCUGUGGGUGGAGAGAACUUGAUUCACAUGCAAACAAGUGAUGACAUGCAGUAUAUGACAGGGUGAGAACACUGAUUAUAAGGAUAUGUGUCGUGGCAGCAAUGAUACAUAGUAAAAGAAACGUCUAGUACACAUGGUUCAGCCAGCAGAACACAUCAGGACAUUAGGAGUUUCUCUACUUUCGUGGAACAUGACAGCAAUGGCUUUUACAAUCUGUUUUUUGAGUUUGGAGUUCAUUGGACUGGCUUUGAAGGAUGUUGAAUUUCCUCAUAAUCUUUUUGAGAACAAGAUCAAUUCUUGUUUUUCAAUUUUUUCAGGCUUAAAGGAAUCAGAAUUUUCUUUUUUGGAACAUUUCAACCAGUUUCCUCCAACAAAUUUUGUCAAAAUGUUUUUAUCGUAUUACCCAAGACAUCGGAGAGAGAAAAUAACACUCCAACACUGCAGGCCAGCAGAGAAGGCCUUGCUGGCCCUGACGGCCCACCACUGCUGCUGUGUUCUCUCACUCAGGCCCAACCAGUGAAGGAGGAAAAUAUUUCUGUCCCAAUCCAGUGUGAGUCUGACCCAAAUGGUUUAAAUGGAACCACUGUGUAUGGUGACGAAACUUUUGUAAGUAUGUGGACAAUCAAAAAUGUGUUUAUUUAUUGUGAUGAAUGUGAUACCCAAUCAUGUUUGCCUUCAUGAUCCAAAGGGCAGUGUUUUCGUUUUGAGGCAUUUUAAAAAUGAGACACUAUUCCUCAUUGGUCCAAACUCCCUCACCCAAACAGCCUCUGACUUUCACCUCACCAUUGAUAACUCUACCCUGUGUUUUGUCCACCUCAAAAACAUCUCUCAUCUCCGUUCUUCACUUUCCUUCCCCGCCGCUGAAACUCUAACUCACGCCUUUAUCACAUCCCGCCUUGACUACUGCAAUAGCAUCCUCUUUGGUACAACCUCCACACUCCUAAAUAAACUGUAAUACAUCCAAAUCA
Molecule: long non-coding RNA, 993 nt
Filed under: Gouania willdenowi (blunt-snouted clingfish)
Lineage: Eukaryota; Metazoa; Chordata; Actinopteri; Blenniiformes; Gobiesocidae
Description: lncRNA (ENSGWIG00000025667.1)
Source: RNAcentral